AGAAGGCACACCCGGAGAACUGAAACAUCUUAGUACCCGGAGGAAGAGAAAGAAAAUUCGAUUCCCUUAGUAGCGGCGAGCGAAACGGGAAGAGCCCAAACCAACAAGCUUGCUUGUUGGGGUUGUAGGACACUCUAUACGGAGUUACAAAGGACGACAUUAGACGAAUCAUCUGGAAAGAUGAAUCAAAGAAGGUAAUAAUCCUGUAGUCGAAAAUGUUGUCUCUCUUGAGUGGAUCCUGAGUACGACGGAGCACGUGAAAUUCCGUCGGAAUCUGGGAGGACCAUCUCCUAAGGCUAAAUACUCUCUAGUGACCGAUAGUGAACCAGGACCGUGAGGGAAAGGUGAAAAGCACCCCGGAAGGGGAGUGAAAUAGAACCUGAAACCGUGUGCUUACAAGUAGUCAGAGCCCGUUAAUGGGUGAUGGCGUGCCUUUUGUAGAAUGAACCGGCGAGUUACGAUU
Molecule: ribosomal RNA, 463 nt
Filed under: Staphylococcus aureus
Lineage: Bacteria; Bacillati; Bacillota; Bacilli; Caryophanales; Staphylococcaceae
Description: partial 23S ribosomal RNA
Rfam family: Bacterial large subunit ribosomal RNA
Source: RNAcentral